RNAcentral lists this ribosomal RNA (481 nucleotides) under uncultured Glomus. RNAcentral describes it as "SSU rRNA". It matches the Rfam family "Eukaryotic small subunit ribosomal RNA", at positions 569 to 1055 of the family's 1831-position model. Lineage: Eukaryota; Fungi; Glomeromycota; Glomeromycetes; Glomerales; Glomeraceae. The record is from RNAcentral.
AGCAGCCGCGGUAAUUCCAGCUCCAAUAGCGUAUAUUAAAGUUGUUGCAGUUAAAAAGCUCGUAGUUGAAUUUCGGGAUCAAUUAGUCGGUCGUGCCUCUGGUACGUACUGGUUUUAUUGGUUCCUCCCUUCUGACGAAACAUGAUGUCAUUAAUUUGGUGUCGUGGAGAAUCAGGACUGUUACCUUGAAAAAUUAGAGUGUUUAUAGCAGGCUAACGCUUGAAUACAUUAGCAUGGAAUAAUGAAAUAGGACGUUCGACCCUAUUUUGUUGGUUUCUAGGAUCGACGUAAUGAUUAAUAGGGAUAGUUGGGGGCAUUAGUAUUCAAUUGUCAGAGGUGAAAUUCUUGGAUUUAUUGAAGACUAACUACUGCGAAAGCAUUUGCCAAGGAUGUUUUCAUUAAUCAAGAACGAAAGUUAGGGGAUCGAAGACGAUCAGAUACCGUCGUAGUCUUAACCAUAAACUAUGCCGACUAGGGAUCG